Molecule: ribosomal RNA, 301 nt
Filed under: uncultured bacterium
Lineage: Bacteria
Description: partial 16S ribosomal RNA
Rfam family: Bacterial small subunit ribosomal RNA
Source: RNAcentral
CAGCCGCCGCGGGAAUACGUAGGGUGCGAGCGUUAAUCGGAAUUACUGGGCGUAAGGCGGGCGCAGACGGUUACUUAAGCAGGAUGUGAAAUCCCCGGGCUCAACCUGGGAACUGCGUUCUGAACUGGGUGACUAGAGUGUGUCAGAGGGAGGUAGAAUUCCACGUGUAGCAGUGAAAUGCGUAGAGAUGUGGAGGAAUACCGAUGGCGAAGGCAGCCUCCUGGGAUAACACUGACGUUCAUGCCCGAAAGCGGGGGUAGCAAACAGGAUUAGAUACCCCGGUAGUCCCUGUCUCUUAUAU